GGAAGCUUGGCAGAGUCCGGCUUAUUGCACUAGUCUUGAAAACUAGCGGUCCAGAAAUGUGGCCCGAUGGGUUCGAAUCCCUCAGCUUCCACCA
Molecule: transfer RNA, 94 nt
Filed under: Parcubacteria group bacterium ADurb.Bin216
Lineage: Bacteria
Description: tRNA-Ser
Rfam family: tRNA
About the family: Transfer RNA (tRNA) molecules are approximately 80 nucleotides in length. Their secondary structure includes four short double-helical elements and three loops (D, anti-codon, and T loops). Further hydrogen bonds mediate the characteristic L-shaped molecular structure. tRNAs have two regions of fundamental functional importance: the anti-codon, which is responsible for specific mRNA codon recognition, and the 3' end, to which the tRNAs corresponding amino acid is attached (by aminoacyl-tRNA synthetases). tRNAs cope with the degeneracy of the genetic code in two manners: having more than one tRNA (with a specific anti-codon) for a particular amino acid; and 'wobble' base-pairing, i.e. permitting non-standard base-pairing at the 3rd anti-codon position.
Source: RNAcentral